AUUUGAUAUUUCAAUACAUUUCUUACAAAACUAUAAAUGUAGUAACCAUCAUACAUAAUGCAUAUGUCUGUACAAUCUAGAUGAAAAUCUUCUGCAGUCGUUUGGAAAGCAUCCUGGUUAUAACUGCAGCGAGUGACGAGUGUAGCAGUCGAGAAUCAUUAAAGGCGUAUCGCGUAUAUCACGUAUGUAGCUACUAUAUUAGCAAUAAGCGAUGGGCAGUGGUGGCAGUUAUAUACAGCCAUGAGGACUUCGAACUUUUAAGAGACACAGCAAUGCAUAUACGAUUAAUUUGAUUUACAUUUUGCGUGGUUGUUAAUUUACACGCUUCCGGCCAAUCAGCCUAAAGCGCGCCUAAAUAUUGUAACUUUUUAAUUUAAUACAUUUACCUAUCAUCAUUGUGUGUACCUGCCUCUAUAUUAGAUACCUACGCAAUAUAAUAUGACACAACUUCAUCAUUAUUCGUUGGCCAAAAAAAAAAA
Molecule: long non-coding RNA, 479 nt
Organism: Myzus persicae (green peach aphid)
Lineage: Eukaryota; Metazoa; Arthropoda; Insecta; Hemiptera; Aphididae
Exons: 2
Source: RefSeq, a predicted model, not a curated record